UUCCGUAGGUGAACCUGCGGAGGGAUCAUUGAAUUAUUAAAACCACAAUGCGAACCUCAACGUUUCGUGCCUUGGCUUGCCAGUGUGGCAUUCGGUAAACCGUAUGGAGCCCACAGCUGAGCGAGCAAUGCUGCCCGCUCAGUGGCGCCUUGGCAUGCUUAUACACCAGUGCUAACCACUGUUAAACCCAAAUACUGAAUUUGUGAUUGCUAGUAAUUGGCAAUCUUAACCAAAGAUAACUCUCAACAACGGAUAUCUUGGCUCUCGCAACGAUGAAGAACGCAGCGAAAUGCGAUACGUAGUGUGAAUUGCAGAAUUCCGUGAACCAUCGAAUCUUUGAACGCAUAUUGCGCUCGAGCCUCCGGGCAAGAGCAUGUCUGCCUCAGCGUCGGUUUACACCCUCACCCCUCCCACUUUGUUGGGUUGUUUGGCAACUUUGCCAGCAUAGGUGGUGGAUCUGGCUUCCCCAAUCUGCCGUCUGGUAGAUUGGGUUGGCUGAAGAAUAGAGGUUUAAGCAAGGACCCGUUAUGGGCUUCAACUGGAUAGGUAGCACCG
This 555-nucleotide ribosomal RNA is filed under the name uncultured organism. RNAcentral describes it as "eukaryotic LSU rRNA". The stretch from base 238 to 391 matches the Rfam family "5.8S ribosomal RNA". The record is from RNAcentral.